Molecule: ribosomal RNA, 429 nt
Filed under: Actinomycetes bacterium
Lineage: Bacteria; Bacillati; Actinomycetota; Actinomycetes
Description: Actinobacteria bacterium partial 16S ribosomal RNA
Rfam family: Bacterial small subunit ribosomal RNA
Source: RNAcentral
UAGGGAAUCUUCCGCAAUGGGCGAAAGCCUGACGGAGCAACGCCGCGUGAGUGAUGAAGGUCUUCGGAUCGUAAAACUCUGUUAUUAGGGAAGAACAAAUGUGUAAGUAACUAUGCACGUCUUGUCGGUACCUAAUCAGAAAGCCACGGCUAACUACGUGCCAGCAGCCGCGGUAAUACGUAGGUGGCAAGCGUUAUCCGGAAUUAUUGGGCGUAAAGCGCGCGUAGGCGGUUUUUUAAGUCUGAUGUGAAAGCCCACGGCUCAACCGUGGAGGGUCAUUGGAAACUGGAAAACUUGAGUGCAUAAGAGGAAAGUGGAAUUCCAUGUGUAGCGGUGAAAUGCGCAGAGAUAUGGAGGAACACCAGUGGCGAAGGCGACUUUCUGGUCUGUAACUGACGCUGAUGUGCGAAAGCGUGGGGAUCAAACAGG